Molecule: ribosomal RNA, 397 nt
Filed under: uncultured bacterium
Lineage: Bacteria
Description: partial 16S ribosomal RNA
Rfam family: Bacterial small subunit ribosomal RNA
Source: RNAcentral
CCUACGGGCGGCAGCAGUGAGGAAUAUUGGUCAAUGGGCGCGAGCCUGAACCAGCCAAGUCGCGUGAAGGAAGACUGUCCUAUGGAUUGUAAACUUCUUUUGUCGGGGAACAAAAGACGCUACGCAUACCCUCCCGUGUGUACCAGAAGAAUAAGCAUCGGCUAACUCCGUGCCAGCAGCCGCGGUAAUACGGAGGAUCCGAGCGUUAUCCGGAUUUAUUGGGGUUAAAGGGUGCGCAGGUGGAAGGUUAAGUCAGUGGUGAAAGUUUGCGGCUCAACCCUGUACUUGCAGUUGAAACUGGUUGUCUUGAGUGCAGGAGAAGUGUGCGGAAUUCGUGGUGUAGCGGUGAAAUGCUUAGAUAUCACGAAGAACUCCGAUUGCGAAGGCAGCUCACCGG